GACAGAGGUGCCAAGCGUUAGGCGGAAUCACUGGGCUUAAAGCGUGUGUAGGCGGACGCCUAAGUACCUUGUGAAAUCCCACGGCUCAACCGUGGAACUGCUUGGUAUACUGGGUGUCUUGAGCCACUUAGGGGUUACCGGAACAAACGGUGGAGCGGUGAAAUGCGUAGAUAUCGUUUGGAACGCCAAUGGUGAAAACAGGUAACUGGGAGUGCGCUGACGCUGAGACACGAAAGCCAGGGGAGCGAACGGG
This 253-nucleotide ribosomal RNA is filed under the name uncultured bacterium. RNAcentral's name for it is "partial 16S ribosomal RNA". It matches the Rfam family "Bacterial small subunit ribosomal RNA", at positions 524 to 776 of the family's 1533-position model. The record is from RNAcentral.